UGCGUGGUCCCCAGAGUCAGACUGUGGC
Molecule: non-coding RNA, 28 nt
Filed under: Rattus norvegicus (Norway rat)
Lineage: Eukaryota; Metazoa; Chordata; Mammalia; Rodentia; Muridae
Source: RNAcentral